RNAcentral lists this non-coding RNA (2763 nucleotides) under synthetic construct. The record is from RNAcentral.
AUGGCGUCCAAAAAGCCUGAUAAAACCUAUGAAGAAAUGGUCAAGGAAGUAGAAAGGCUUAAACUGGAGAAUAAAACACUUAAACAAAAGGUUAAGUCUUCAGGCGCUGUCUCAUCAGAUGAUAGCAUCUUGACAGCUGCCAAGAGAGAAAGUAUCAUUGUCUCUUCAUCCAGAGCACUAGGAGCAGUGGCUAUGAGAAAAAUCGAGGCUAAAGUCAGAUCCCGGGCGGCCAAAGCUGUUACAGAGCAGGAACUAACCUCUCUUCUCCAAUCGCUGACCCUGAGAGUUGACGUGUCUAUGGAGGAAACUACUGUGGGUGCCAGCGGAGGGAUUGGCCCAUCCUCUCAAACAGAGACCAAGAAAAGAAGACCCAGGUGUGAUUAUCUGGAAUUAGUUGUGGUUGAACGGCGCCUGUGUACUCAAAGGAUCCGCCCAUAGCUGAGUUGGGAGUAGCAGAGACUCCAAUCAACUGGCUCAAGUAGACCUGCUUCGAUCCGUGCCAGUCCUAUAAGAACAGAAAACAUGGGGGAUGAAUUUUAUUAUCCUUCUCUGGAAAGCGUGGUCCACACCUUUUGUGUCAUAGAUACUAGGGAACAUAAUAGAGUAAGUGCCUGUUUGUGUAAGCUUCAGGUGCUGUGUAAAAUUUGUCAGACACUGCGCCACAACUUGGAUACAGAGCCAUUUUUGUUGCCCCACUUGAGGGAACUAAUUAUCAGACACCUAACACUAUUGGAGAGGUUGUCCACUACCUCCAAAUUUCAGCGCAUACUCGACUACAUGAAGCUAUCCCUUGAGGCAAAUGAUUCAAACUUGUUACAAGACUUGGCCAUAGGCACUGUCAAUUUACUGGGCUGUCAAAGUCCAGAGAUUUUGUCUAUCCCAUAUGACAAAGAUCAGCCUGUACAUGAAUGGUGUGCAUGUUUCCUGACCUCUGUAGACGAGGAAGCCUUGAGAAAAAUAUCUUCUAUGUUGGACAAUAAACACUUUUCUUAUAUGUACAACUUUAAAACAUUCUUAAAGUAUUCACUAGAGUUAGAAACAGCUGCAGACUUUGAUUUAUCUACUGGACUCAAUGUCCUUGUGUAUUGGGUAAGCGUCUUUAAACUGUUCAGUGUUUGUGUCCAAAGUCAGUUUCUGCUGGACAGCCUUGUGGCAUUUAAUGCCCUUUUUAAAAAUCAUGUAAAAGAGUUAGAAGCGAUUGUGGAAUCUGACACAAACCUGCUCUGCUAUAGCACAUCUGUUGUGUGGGCAAAAUUGUCUAACUUAAACCAUCUGCUCCACAGACUUCAGACUAGUAACAACACUUUAGUUUUUGAUGAAAUACUGAUCUGUCUGCGUGGUUUACAAAUUUAUAUAAAAUGUUUACCUACCUUAUCGGCUGAAGGGGAAUCCGAGUCAGAGGCCAUCGCUGCAGAAAUUCCCUCGUAGUGCAGGAGUUGUAUUUUUGAGUGUAGAUUGAAAAGAGUUGUGCUCUCUCCUCAGCCUUUGAAGGGACAUUUCAUGACUCAUGUAGGAGGAGCUACCAGAUUUCCAUAAAAGUGGGAGGCUAUUAUUUCUUGCAGACUGCAGCACAUUGUGGGAUAAUGUGUUCAAAAAUGGACCUUGAAACCCGUGAAGGUGGUGGUUGCCAGCAGGUUUCAAUUCUCAUGGUCACAUCUGACAGAGAAAAGGAACAGUAUGAGAAAUUUAUGAACAUACUUAAGAAUCUUUCAAAUUGUACUGAUAUAUCUCAGGUCGUGGCAGAUGCUAAAAAAAUCUAUGAUUCCAGGGAAUUUUGUUAUGUGCCUGCCCUUCUCACUCUGUUCAAGAAGUUGCCUUCUGUUCAUAAAUGGCCUGAAAAUGAAAACUGUAAUGAGGUGCUAAGUGCUGCCUUCUUUGUGUGCCAGCUCUUAUUUUUUCAUAACUUCCCAGCCUCACCAGCUUUUACAGUGGAUGAAAUGUUUGCAACAGUGGCUGCUAGAUUGAAGGAUCUGAUAGAAUAUUCAUGUGACUGUGAGAACUGUGAAUUGUUGGCUGAAUCCCUGACAAAUUAUAAGUUUUCCCUGGUACCUAUAAAGAUCAGGCCACACACCGAUACCUGUGUCUCACUGAAAACACUCCAGCGGCUACGGACUGCCAUGUUAGGCAAUCCUGAAACCCUGAGUAUUUGGACCCUUGAUGACCUGGUGGAGGACCCAGUAGUCUUCAAAGGCUAUGAAAGCGCAAUUAGGAGAGAAUUUGCUGAGCAUGUCACAUGUUUGAACAUGUGCUGGGUUGUGAAGAUAAUCUUGGACUGCAUGUCUCAGCCAACAGCUCUGCUUCGGGAUUGUAUUCAGAAGGGUGCAAAGAAUAAUGGACUCCAGCUGGACACUUCGAGUACCUGGACGUGGCCAGCAGCACGUAUUGCUGAAAAGGAAGUCAUAGAACAUACCAUGAGUGUUUGUGUACAGGAUAUGACUAGAAGUCAUGAUCAGGAAUUCUACACAGAGGCCUUUAAGGAAGAUCUCCAUAUAGGAUUAAAGAGACUAGUUGCCAUGGUCCUUGGGCAGAAUCAUAGUUGGUUAGAUGGCUUUCUGACAGACACUAUAGUGACAGGUAAAGCAUAGCCUGGGGCAUAGUUCUUUGAUGAAUCAUCAUAAAUAUGAUGGCUAAUGUGGUCCUUUUGUGUAUUAAUGCAGAUAUGUUUAUGUAUCCAGGUGUGUUGCUUGAAAGGUAUUUUGCUGUACUAACCCAACACCACCUAUUUAUCAUGUUUGGAAGCCUAUUAAAAACUGUGCUAUUGAC